GGAGAGGUUACAGCGAAAUUGGUAACGCCACGGUCUUGAAAACCGUUGUCUUAGGGCAUGUGAGUUCGACUCUCACCCUCUCCGCCA
RNAcentral lists this transfer RNA (87 nucleotides) under Chloroflexota bacterium. Its description in RNAcentral is "Chloroflexi bacterium tRNA-Ser". It matches the Rfam family "tRNA". Rfam says of the family: Transfer RNA (tRNA) molecules are approximately 80 nucleotides in length. Their secondary structure includes four short double-helical elements and three loops (D, anti-codon, and T loops). Lineage: Bacteria; Bacillati; Chloroflexota. The record is from RNAcentral.